Molecule: small nucleolar RNA, 102 nt
Filed under: Cephalotus follicularis
Lineage: Eukaryota; Viridiplantae; Streptophyta; Magnoliopsida; Oxalidales; Cephalotaceae
Description: Plant small nucleolar RNA R71
Rfam family: Plant small nucleolar RNA R71
About the family: R71 is a member of the C/D box family of snoRNAs containing the C (UGAUGA) and D (CUGA) box motifs.
Source: Rfam by way of RNAcentral
ACGGCAUGAUGGGGACAUUUUUGGAUGAGAUCCUUUAAUCUUUCCCAUGAUUCAUAGAAUUGCUCACUAUCGUGCUGUGAAAAGCUAGUGAGAGCUCGCCUU